GCUUAGGAGCCUUCCCCGUGGCGGUAAAGCCAGUGUCUGACUGACAGCAGCUGGACCUGAGCAGAACCUUGACCUUCUGUAAAAUCAAAACUUAAGCCUUUUGCCAGGGACUUAACUCUCAACCUUGGCACUGGGAGUGCCUCCAGACAGUUCCAGACCUUUUUCUCCUGCUUCCCUACCUCAACUGUGCUGGCUCGGAGACAAAGUGCCCAGGCUGAGCGGGACUUGACUAAAUCUUAUAGCUAUGUCAACACCCGCAAUCGGCCUUUGCACCCUUUCUCUGGCUGCUGUCAGUCAGACACCAGCUUUACUACCAUGGGGAAUGCCUCAACCAUCCCCAGAGUCUCGCCCCCUGGGUGCAUUUUAACCAAUUGGAUACGCUUUCAAUUGGAUGGUUUAUGCCCCAGAAACUCCAGCUUGGAGAAAACUUGAGGAGUUUCUCUGUGCCUUUGUGAUGUAGUUGGACAAGUAGGUCAAUCUAGAAUGUCAUUAAGUUAAACCCAGUAACUUCCAACUGUCCUUGGAAAAUCCUCGCAAGACUGGAAAUACAGCUCUAGAGGCAGUUCAGAUUCCACCCAGUUCCUUUAUCUCAAAAAGGAUUAUCAUCUCCCUCUCCAGGAACUACUAUCUAGCCCAUCA
Molecule: long non-coding RNA, 639 nt
Filed under: Equus caballus (horse)
Lineage: Eukaryota; Metazoa; Chordata; Mammalia; Perissodactyla; Equidae
Description: lncRNA (ENSECAG00000054692.1)
Source: RNAcentral